Long non-coding RNA from Hypomesus transpacificus, 5129 nucleotides. RefSeq lists it as uncharacterized. The record is from RefSeq and is a predicted model, not a curated record. NCBI's taxonomy places the organism in Eukaryota, Metazoa, Chordata, Actinopteri, Osmeriformes, Osmeridae. The transcript has 4 exons.
GGCAACCUUCUGAUUACUUGCCCGACUCCCUCACCGCUCAGCCAUCUGACUCCCGACAUAUGCUUUAUUUGAAUCCACAAUUUAAAUUAAUUGGGCAUAAAAAAGGAGGGAGGGAAUUCCUAAAUGUUGAAAGAUGCUUAGGGGUAUUAUUCAUGCUGAACUUCCCACUAAAACAGGGCGUUGUCCUUCCAGCUAUACCUGAAUCCUCUUUUGGGCGUGCCAGGAACAGGAACCUCAUGACACUGUCUGAUCAUCAGAGCAGUCUGUCAUUACUGUUCUAUGGGUUUAAAAUAACUGGAUUGUUAUGUAGCUUUUGAAUGACACAAAAUGACCCUGUCCUGAAAUGAGUUCAAUGACAGUGAAUGGCAAUACUAUUCGGAAAUUACAAUACUAUUUUAAUAUUAGCCAACAUUUCAAAAUACAGGCAAGUUUAAAUGACCACGUCCUGAUUUUAAUGAAUUUACAUUUGGGUCAGCAAACAUAAAUAGGGUGUAGCUACUGAGUACGCCUAUGUUGGGCCGAUUCCAUAAACGCUAACGAGUCAGUUAUGGAAUGUGUGUUACGUGUGAAAUUAUUAAUUUGGGUGUUGCGCCAGAAAGAACGACGUAAUUGUUAUGCUUUUAUGACGCACACGUCCGUCAAAACAGGUACAUUAUUUGAAUACAGCACCAUUGUAAAAUCACGCAGUUGGUGUUUUAUAAAUAAGCGGGCCAGGCACGUAGUCAAAUGUUAUUCUCAUCCUAGCCUUGUAGAUAAGGCAGUUGGAUCAUUUUAGUUAAUUGCGCCUUGUUAGAGAUCUUAAUUUAGUUUUAUUUAUUAUACCUAAACACUAUGUGCUUGAAAUUAUUUAAUGGGACUUUAGCGUAGUCAUCAAGCCAGCAGACGGCGGAAAAGUACACUCUUCGUCGUUUCCAGAAAACUGUGGACAAGACAAGUAUGGUGGUCUUAAACUUUUCAUCAAAAUCUCGUCAAGCUGUUAGAUGAGUAACAUGAAAACAAACCUGCUUUGCUGAAGUCUAAGAAACUCCAGCUACUUAUCCAGCAAUGUUUUUUUUUGAAAAGUACGUUCAGGACCACACCCUCCAGAUUCCAACAUCAUUAUCAUCAUCGCGAAGAUCUGCAUUUGUUUUCAUCCUGUGUUAUUUUGCAGAUGGUAUCUUAAUCUCAGUUGAAAGGCUGAGACCACAAUGCUUUGAUUCAAAGAGGAUGCCAAUCUCAUCUGAAUGACAUAUUUUUGUACAGAUACCAGAUGCUUUUCAGUACCUCAGUGCAUUCUUUAAAGGUAAACUAAAAAUGAUCCUCUUCCUAUUCACAGACAACACAAACACAAUACAACUCCGCCUCAUGAUUGGCUAAUUACAUGGUCAUUACGUGAGUCAGGGAGGAAGGACGACACUGUGAAAAGUCAAUAAUAAGCUUGGAUGGACUUGUAUUAAGUUUGUUGUGUUGUCUGUGAACGGACAGCCGGGUCGACGGCCGCGUCACUUUGCCAGUUUACUUUUAAAAUUCCACCAGACCAUCUUCCAAACUUAAAUGAGAAAAUUUUCCAAAACUGAAAACAAAGAAUGAGCUUGAUUUGGUAAGUUUUCACUGACUUGAAAUUGCUCAAUUAUGAUUUUUUUGCUUAGAAAUGUAUCUUAAAUCGCAAUAUCGAGAUAAAAAAUGUACUCUGCUGUUGCAUAGGCGUUGCAGACUAAACAUAAUAACGUAAACAAGAUUGAACUCUAACUAAUAAUUGACUUUUAAUAUUGAAAUGAGGAUUUAUUUUUAUUGUAGUUGUUAGUUAGGUAGAAAUGUACACACCAAAUGGAGAUAUCUAGAUAGUAGCUGCAUUAAUCACUGCAUGGUAUUGCCAUUUUUACAUUUAAUUAGUUUCCUAGAUGUAUGCUCACCAGAUUGAGGUAGAUAGAUAGGAGAUACAUAGUUGUAUUAUAUAUGUAUAUAUUACUCAUGUACUUAUGUUUGACUUUGGAACGACUUACUCCUGUCUUCUAUCUAAUUUCCUGUUCUUACCUUCUGUACAGACCACCACUCUGUAAUUGAAGAGGAUUUUGUGAUGGUUAUCUUGUCAACAGUACCACAUAAAUAUUAACUUCCUCAAGUUACAAUUAACAAACCGCAAUCAAAAUGUCUCUUCAUGAGUGACAUGAGUUGCUUGGUACAGAUUUCCCUUACCAGUCUUUCUACUCUGUAUUUUUCCAGUCUAAAGUCUGCAUCCAAGAAAGAUUUCAAGAAGUAAACAAUCGCCUACAUUUUGCUCAUCUUCAAGAGGAUCAACCUUUUACUUUUUCACCUGACAUGUCCGUACUAUUCCUUGAAGCGCGCGCAACCUGGAGUUUUGAACACCCUACACACGUCCUUGGGUCAUCAUGACUAAUACACCUGCCGUAUUUUUACUUAAUAUAGAGCCCGGUUCUCGAGAUAUUCAAGCUACAGACACACACACACACAGAGCUGUGUGCCUUUAUGGUUAAAAAAAUAUUCCCUUCCGUUCUUUUUUCAGCUUGCAUUCCGUUCUGCUCUGUGGGAUCAUUUGACACAAACUUUUGAAAAAUGGUUCGCAUGGGUGAAUUUCCUUGGUUAUUUGCAACAAAUGAAUUAGGUAAUUCAGAAUAGAUUAUCUUGUUGUUGUUUUUUGUCUCAAAUAACCAAACAGAAGAACAGCAGAACGGUGUGUGAGUAGAACCAGUGAACGUCUAUUAAAUGAAAGCUUUGUAAGUAGGUGCUGCCCUGGGUAAACUAUUAUGUUCGAAACAAAUAUACAACAAUAAUAACGUGGGCGCGCCCUUCAUACUGUUCAAACCACUCAAAUGAUGACUUGUUGACAAAUGAUGACAGAUUUCUUCAAGCUCAGAGGAUAUGACGAAACUAGAUCUUGUGAGUUUUUUGGAUUGUUUUCACUCAAGCAUAACUUUAGUUAUAUUUAUUUAGUUUAGUUAGUUAGCUAGAUUUCUACUGACCAGAUAUUUAUAUUGGUGCAUAGUAACUAAAUUACAAUUGCAAAUAGAAAGCAAACAAAUGCAUUGCAAUUUGUUUUACAGUACAAUAUACCUCAUGUAUGUAGGACUCUAUAAUGAUUAUUGAUCAAAACCAAUUUACAGUCUAUUGUUUCAUAUUGACACUUUUUCUCAUCUUUACAGACAACAGCCCACUCACUUCAAAAGAAUCCGCAUUCGACAAGACUACAGGCUGGCAGACUGCAUCCAAGAUCGAUUUAUAAAAGGAAACGGUGUCAACAGGAACAGUUUCGUACAUUUUGCAAGUCUACAAGAGGAUCUGCAUUCUACAUCCAUAUUAAUCCACGACGUGUGCAAACCUGGAUCAUUUUAAACGUGAUUCUCAGUAAGAUGAUUAGGAGGUUGAGAUUGCAAUGCCUCGACAGCUACAUCAUGUUACUGAAUAUCAAGUACAAAUCUACCCUACAUAGGGGAGAAGCACUGUGCUCUCUGCCUUCUCAACUCUGUAGAUGUAAAUUAGUGCUUUUUAAAGGGACACUCAACAGGAUACAGUUGUUAUUGGCUCUUUGCAAUGACAGUGUUACUAAAAAAGCAGAUUUCAAUUGUGAGGAGUCAAUAAUAAUAGGAGGACGUUAGUUGGUUAAACUCACUCCUUAGUAUCAAUACUACCUUCCUGCGUUGUUAAGUUGUUUGCGGUUCAGUGUUGUAGCUGGAUAAACGUUGUUUAUGAGUGGUGGUCGGUCGUGUACCCAUGUCGGAAAACACAAGAUCAGAUCCAGGAGUGGAAGGAAGCAACAUUUUCGAGAAACACAAUUACAUGUGUGAUGAUUGACUAAGUUUUCACUAAAAGUAUUUCCAUCUCAAAUGAAGCCAUUUUUUCAACCUCAGAAGACUCACUCCACUUACAACAGGGAAUGGGGUAAAUUGAUAUUGGCAUGAGUACAUCAUUUGUUUGACGAACUUCAUGAAACCUUUCUAGUUAGUUAACUGUCCACUGGCGAGAUAAAAAUAGAUAUAAUUGCAUAAUAUAUUACUAAUUUCACAGUAGAUUGUACCUCACAUAUGUAAGGCUUUAGGGUACCUGUUGAAACUUCUGUGUAAUCUCCUGUUCUUAUCUUCUCUGCAGAUUACCCACUCCGUAUUUGAGGAAAACCUUUAGAUGUUCAUCUUUUCAAAAGAACCACUUCAAUCAUAUCAGCUAAACUGCUUCAAUUUACCAUUACAAUCCACACUAUACAUUUCUGUUUCUGAGAAUCAGCAUAUGACACCAAUUGAGUUGUAGGCCUACACAUUUCACUAACCAGUCUUUCUACUCUACAUUUCUACAGCCUAAGGCCAUGUUUUUUUGAGCGCCUUUUCAGAAAAGCGCUGGGUGACGUCAAGCUAACGAGAAUUUUAUAACCUGAACGGGAAUCAUAUAGUCUAGCAAUACAUUAUUAUCCGUUAUUUUCCAUUGGUUACUUAUCGACAGCUAGCUACUAUGGCCAAUAAAAUGCAAUUACUUGCUUUAGCUUUGGCGUUUGAGGAGCCAUAGCCUAGUAACUAAGGUAGAAGGUUACUAGGGAAGGUACACUCGUACCUACUCUCCUCGUCCUGUCAAAAAGGCGCUUGACGUCACCCAGCGCUUUUCUGAAAAAUUGAACUCAAAAAGGCGUCGGGCUCAGCGUUUUUUUUAGAAGUUUUUAAAAGGCGGUUACUUAAAAAAAAAAAAGGCGGACGCCUUUUUCCUUUUCCCAUAGGGUUGCAUGUAAAAAGGCGCUGAAGGCAGCGUUUUUUUCUGAAAAAAGAAGUCAAGUGUGAACACGGCCUAAAGUCUGCAUCCAAGAACAAUUUCAAGAAGUAAACAAUGUCCACAGAAACAAUCGCCUACAUUUUGCAACUCUUCAAGAGGAUAGGCAUUUUACUGUUUCACCAGACCUUUUUUGGCCAAACUAUUCUGUAAACUGCGCAACAUGGAGAUUUUCGAACGUGAUUCUCAGUAACAUGGCAAAGUGACUGAGACUGAUAUCUCAACAGCUUUCUCAUCUUACUGAAUGCAGUAAGAUUUGUUAGCAGUUUACCAACAGUUGAAAGUUAGCUUGUGUGGGUGAAUUUACUUAGCCUGGUCCUAACCAGACUCUCGUACAUUUCAUUUGUACAGAGAGUCUGGCCUCGCUCCAUUGACGAGCGUUG